CAAAGAACCAGGAGCCCCAAGCAAGAGCAGAACCAUUCAGAGCCUCUCUGAGGAAACUGGUGAGCUGUGAAGCCCCGUCUGACGUACACAAUCAUCUGAUGGAGCCACGGCCCCGGAGUGGCCCAAAAUACCACAGUGGUGGGUGUGGAGGAUCUCCGCCGCAUUUUCCUGCAUCGGAGGGACGAAGGAGAAAGCCCACUUUAACAACUUCAGUUUACCUUUACUUAGGGAGGGAGGUGUCCUGGAAAACCCCAGACAGAACUUUUGGAAUCUUGCAGCCGCUGGCUUAAGAGCUGUGCUCAUCUUUUCUGUCUUCUUCUUCUUCUUCUUCUUCUUCUUCUUCUUCUUCUUCUUCUUCUUCUUCUUCUUCUUCUUCUUCUUCUUCUUCUUCUUUUGUUCUGUGUCUGAGGAAAGGUUUCACUUUGUAGCCUAGGCUGCCUCACUAUGUAGCCUAGGCUGUCUCACUAUGUAGCCUAGGCUGCCUUGAAU
Molecule: long non-coding RNA, 489 nt
Filed under: Cricetulus griseus (Chinese hamster)
Lineage: Eukaryota; Metazoa; Chordata; Mammalia; Rodentia; Cricetidae
Description: lncRNA (ENSCGRG00015039179.1)
Source: RNAcentral